This 73-nucleotide transfer RNA is filed under the name Candidatus Cloacimonadota bacterium. RNAcentral describes it as "tRNA-Ile". It matches the Rfam family "tRNA". Rfam says of the family: Transfer RNA (tRNA) molecules are approximately 80 nucleotides in length. The record is from RNAcentral. Lineage: Bacteria; Pseudomonadati; Candidatus Cloacimonadota.
GGGCCCAUAGCUCAGCUGGUAGAGCUCCCGGCUCAUAACCGGGCGGUCAUAGGUUCGACUCCUGUUGGGCCCA